CACAUACGUCAGAGUGGCAAUCUGCUUACAGUCGAAUCGGAGCCGAACGCGGCCGAAAGUCGCCGACGAGCUGCAUAGUAUCGCAUUGUCUGUUAUGGUACGAAUGGGCGUCCGUGACAACAACUUGAUUGCUUUUGAAUCACAUGUACUUAUCUUCUCAAACUGCUUUCGAGCAUCUUAACGACUGGUUGCAUUUUGAAGUGUCUUGCCAUCUAAAGAAUGGAGAACAAAGAAAUAAACAUAGUUAAGAUUAAAAUUAAACUUACAAUUAAAGUAAAAAUAACAACGAAGGAAGGUGUCAUUAAGAAGACAGAUGACACAGACAAGCCCCGAUCGACACGGAGGGUGCCUGACAUGCCGAAGACUGGAAGAGAAGAAAAUCACCAGGGCCAGAGGGUUCGUCCGUGGAGCGGGAGGGACAGGCUACCCACGCUGGAGGAAGAAGGAGCGACGAGGAGGAGGCCCCAACUGAAGUUCCUCCGUCGUCCGGACAGCAACGGCUCCUGCGAUGUACAACCAGAGAGAGGCCAGGGGCAGCGUCAGCGAUCGGCGGAACAGCAACUCCUGACAAGGAUCCAUGGACUUAUGGGAUAUGGCCGGAGAAGGAGGACUGACUACAGAGACAUUGUUCCUGAUGGACUUGUGGGUUAUGGGCGGGGACAGAGGGAUAAUAGCGAUGUUGUUGAUGGACUUGUGGGUUAUGGGCGGGGACGGAGGGAUAAUAGAGAUACUGUUUAAGUGUUAAUGUACAAAAGAGAUAGGAUAAGAUAAGAUAAGAUAGGAUAAGUUAAAAUAGGAUAAGAUAAGCUAAGUUAAAACAUAAUAAGAUAGGUUAAGUUAACAUAUGAUAAGAUAUGCUGUUAAAAUAUCAUAAGAUAGGCUAAGUUAAAAUAGGAUAAGAGCUUUACAAUAAAACAUAUACUUACUUUUCAAA
This is a long non-coding RNA of Brienomyrus brachyistius, 934 nucleotides long. RefSeq lists it as uncharacterized. The record is from RefSeq and is a predicted model, not a curated record. Lineage: Eukaryota; Metazoa; Chordata; Actinopteri; Osteoglossiformes; Mormyridae. The transcript has 2 exons.